AGCGAACGCUGGCGGCAGGCUUAACACAUGCAAGUCGAGCGGGCCCUUCGGGGUCAGCGGCAGACGGGUGAGUAACGCGUGGGAACGUGCCCUUCGGUUCGGAAUAACCCUGGGAAACUAGGGCUAAUACCGGAUACGCCCUUAUGGGGAAAGGUUUACCGCCGAAGGAUCGGCCCGCGUCUGAUUAGCUUGUUGGUGAGGUAAUGGCUCACCAAGGCGACGAUCAGUAGCUGGUCUGAGAGGAUGAUCAGCCACACUGGGACUGAGACACGGCCCAGACUCCUACGGGAGGCAGCAGUGGGGAAUAUUGGACAAUGGGGGCAACCCUGAUCCAGCCAUGCCGCGUGAGUGAUGACGGCCUUAGGGUUGUAAAGCUCUUUUACCCGGGACGAUAAUGACGGUACCGGGUGAAUAAGCCCCGGCUAACUUCGUGCCAGCAGCCGCCGUAA
Molecule: ribosomal RNA, 449 nt
Filed under: uncultured bacterium
Lineage: Bacteria
Description: partial 16S ribosomal RNA
Rfam family: Bacterial small subunit ribosomal RNA
Source: RNAcentral